CUACGGGAUGCAGCAGUGAGGAAUAUUGCGCAAUGGGGGAAACCCUGACGCAGCGACGCCGCGUGGAUGAUGAAGGCCUUCGGGUCGUAAAAUCCUGUCAGAAGGAAAGAAGUGUAUGGUAGCUAAUAUCUGCCAUACUUGACGGUACCUUCAAAGGAAGCACCGGCUAACUCCGUGCCAGCAGCCGCGGUAAUACGGAGGGUGCAAGCGUUGUUCGGAAUUACCGGGCGUAAAGCGCGCGUAGGCGGUUUUAUAAGUCAGAUGUGAAAGUCCACGGCUCAACCAUGGAAGUGCAUUUGAAACUGUAAGACUUGAGUAUUGGAGGGGGUAGUGGAAUUCCCGGUGUAGAGGUGAAAUUCGUAGAUAUCGGGAGGAAUACCGGUGGCGAAGGCGACUAUCUGGCCAAAUACUGACGCUAAGGUGCGAAAGCGUGGGGAGCAAACAGGAUUAGAUACCCUUGUAGUC
Molecule: ribosomal RNA, 465 nt
Filed under: uncultured bacterium
Lineage: Bacteria
Description: partial 16S ribosomal RNA
Rfam family: Bacterial small subunit ribosomal RNA
Source: RNAcentral